GCCAAGCGCCUCUGCUUGUUCCAACGCGUGUUUCCUUACAAAAUUUUGCUCUACAGGCUCAUCUAGCUCCGCCACCAUCUUGAUAGCUCGGUCAAGAAGGUUCAUCUGUCAAGAUAAUUCAAGGAAGAAACACCAUGAGAGACCAACCAACAAGAAUCUAAAUGAAAGAAGAGAGAAAGCUUUUAUCUGGUUACCUGGUUGAUAAAGAGAUCACGGAAGACCCCUGAGCAGUUAACAACUACAUCGAUCCUCGGCCUUCCUAGUUCUUCUAAGCUCACAGGCUCGACACGGUUCACUCUUCCAAAAGUAUCAGCAAUUGGUCUCACACCAAUCAUCCAAAGAACCUGCCCAAGAGACUCCCCAUAUGUUUUGAUGUUGUC
RNAcentral lists this long non-coding RNA (380 nucleotides) under Arabidopsis thaliana (thale cress). RNAcentral's name for it is "long non-coding RNA (ATHA_LNC000370)". The record is from RNAcentral. Lineage: Eukaryota; Viridiplantae; Streptophyta; Magnoliopsida; Brassicales; Brassicaceae.